GAGCAGCAUCAGUUUCUCUCUCCAUCUUUUUUCUCGAAUUGUUUGCCUUCUGCUUUUACGGCUCAUAAUAAGCAUCACAAUUUUAUUCUAACAGAAGACGCGGGAAGCGUUCCGCGGAAUAAUCUCGUCUGUUGAGUUCUGGGACGGUUCGGCUCUGAAUCAUGUGAAGCGCCGCUGAUGAACAGAACAGAACCGAACCGAAAGGAAGCGGAACCCUGACUCCCGCCGGACUGAUCGCGCGCUGAUCGGAUGGAUUGAUCAGGAGCGGCGCAGGAUGAGCAUGAGGGAUCUUCAGAAAGUUCUCACUCAGGUCCUCCUCCUGGCUCUCCUCCUGGGAUCUCCAGCACAAUCCAGGAAACAUCAGGUGGUGCGUGACGUGCGGACGGGAACGUGUGAGGUGGUGGCGUUACACCGAUGCUGCAAUAAGAACAAGAUCGAGGAGCGUUCGCAGACCGUCAAGUGCUCGUGUUUCCCGGGACAAGUGGCAGGAACCACCAGAGCGGCUCCGUCAUGCGUAGACGCCUCUAUAGUCCAGCAGAAGUGGUGGUGUCAGAUGCAUCCGUGUCUGGAUGGAGAGGACUGUAAAGUGCUGCCGGAUCUCAAAGGAUGGAGCUGCGCUACAGGGAAUAAGAUCAAGACCACAAAGAUCUCCUCAGACCGGGAUCAGCUCUGGUGACCGCUGGAAACCUGAUCCAGAGCCGUUCAUCCCAGGAUCUGCAGGGAACUCACAGCGCAUUAAUCAGCGGCUCAGACCUUCUCAUUAUUAACCAUGAUCGAGCUGACGGAUCAGGAUCCGGACCGAUGAAGGUCACGGAGCUCCGCCAAAACAUGAACUUCAUCCGUAUCCAGAUGGAUAAUGGGGGAAAAAACAGAUGAACAGUUUGUUCCCGCAUUUCUUGAAGCUCUAAUCUGAAUGUUCGUAUAUCCUCAUAUUGAAUGACAUCAUAUCAAAGAAGACUCCAGCAGGAUUUUUCUGCACUGCAGAUGCUUUGUCUGUGUGUA
Sinocyclocheilus grahami is the source of this 1002-nucleotide RNA transcript. It is a transcript of the gene named TAFA chemokine like family member 2, with no coding region annotated. The record is from RefSeq and is a predicted model, not a curated record. The transcript is spliced from 6 exons. Lineage: Eukaryota; Metazoa; Chordata; Actinopteri; Cypriniformes; Cyprinidae.